Molecule: long non-coding RNA, 1485 nt
Organism: Eriocheir sinensis (Chinese mitten crab)
Lineage: Eukaryota; Metazoa; Arthropoda; Malacostraca; Decapoda; Varunidae
Exons: 2
Source: RefSeq, a predicted model, not a curated record
GCCCUUAGUGUCGUAUAUCUCGUAACUCUGUGAGCCAUGAAAAUCCUACAUUGAAUUUACGAGCUGAGAUGCAAAGUGCUCAGAAAUACAUAACGAAAAAAUAGCAGUUGUAGUAGUCGUAGUAGAAGAAGUUGUAGUAGUAGAAGUGUUAGUAGUAGCCGUUGCAGCCCUUAGUGUCGUAUAUCUCGUAACUCCAUGAUGAAAUACUGCAAUGUUGACCUGAUUCCGUGCAGACCGUCGCUCCUUGUGUUGUCGCUGCGAUUAUUCCGAAGCGUUGCUCGUACACGAUAAAACUUACAAAGACGAACAGGAUAGAAGGAUGGAAAGAGGAAGAGGGAACAGGACAGGACAGAUAAAUAGCCUAGUCAAUAAGACACACCUUAAAUUUACAAGGAGAGGAAAAUAAGUACCCUAGAACAAGCAGUCUGGAAAAUAAGUCACCAGGUGUGUUUGCAAGACUAAAAUGGACAGGGAGGGAAGGGAGAGGAACAAGGAAGGAAAGUGAGGAGGAGGAAGGGGAGGAGAGGAAGGAACAGAAGAGAGGGACAUGGAGGAAAGAAUGGAGAGAGGAGAGGAAGGAGACGGAGAGAGAGGGAAGGAAAGGGAGGAAAGGAGGAAGGAGAGGAAAGGAAGGAACGGAGGAGAGGGACAUGGAGGAAAGAAUGGAGAGAACAGGGAGGAAGGAAAGGAAUGGAGGAAGGAUGAAUGGGAGGUAGGAGGAGGAGGAGGAGGAGGAGGAGGAGGAGGCAAUGGAGGAAAGGAAGGAACAGAGGAGAGGGACAUGGAGGAAAGAAUGGAGAGAACAGGGAGGAAGGAGAGAGGAGAGGACGGAGACAGAGAGAGAGAGGGAAGGAAAGGAAAGGAAAGAAGGAUGAAUGGGAGGUAGGAGGAGGAGGAGGAAGAGGAGGAGGAGGAGGAGGAGGAGGAGGAGGCAAUGGGGCACAAACUACCACUAUCAAACAGGAGUGAAUCUCGUCACAUAUUGCUUCACUAAUGACGGGAUAGGGGAAUGGCACCUCGCGGCCCUCACACUACAGGGGGGGGGAACGCUACCCUAAGAACACAUCACUCUGUACGCCGGAACACUGGACCUCCGCGACGCACACCCCAGACAUGCCCGACGCUCACUGGUUCCUUAGGGGGUGGAUAUUUUCUUCAUCGGCAAUAUUAACUCUAAAUUUUUGUUUAGUUAUCCAUGAAUUUAUUUGGUUUUCUUUCUUUCUUUAUUUGUUGACUCAGGAACUUCAUUUCUCGACAGUGUUAACUUUUCUUUGGUAACGAUUCUUAUAUCAAUUUCUUCUAUUUAUUAACCGAUUAUAUUUUUGUUCAUUUGUUUAUCGACCCUGGUGGUAGUGUGACCCUUCUUCUGUACCAUGAACCUAAGAAACACAUAUUUGACAAGGCUUUCAUAGGAGUUGUGGGCAUUUUCAGGGGUAGUUUCAUGGCCCUGGUGGUAGUGUGACCCUUCUUCUGUACCAUGAACCU